Molecule: ribosomal RNA, 468 nt
Filed under: Bacteroidetes bacterium oral taxon 272
Lineage: Bacteria; Pseudomonadati; Bacteroidota
Description: bacterial SSU rRNA
Rfam family: Bacterial small subunit ribosomal RNA
Source: RNAcentral
GAUGAACGCUAGCUACAGGCUUAACACAUGCAAGUCGUGGGGCAUCAUGAUGUAGUAAUACAUUGAUGGCGACCGGCGCACGGGUGAGUAACGCGUAUCCAACCUACCCUCCACUCAAGUAUAGGCUUCCGAAAGGGAGAUUAAUCCUUGAUAUCGUCAUUCUCUCUCCUGUUAGAAUGAUAAAAGGACAUCGUUUCGGUAGAGGAUGGGGAUGCGUUCCAUUAGGUAGUAGGUGGUUUAACAGGCCACCUAGCCGAUGAUGGAUAGGGGUUCUGAGAGGAAUAUCCCCCACACUGGUACUGAGAUACGGACCAGACUCCUACGGGAGGCAGCAGUGAGGAAUAUUGGUCAAUGGGCGCAAGCCUGAACCAGCCAUGUAGCGUGAAGGAUGACGGUUUUUUUGAUUGUAAACUUCUUUUCUGUGCGAUUAAAGUGUGGCAUUUAUGCCAUAUUGCAGUAUCUCAGGAA